Molecule: ribosomal RNA, 459 nt
Filed under: uncultured bacterium
Lineage: Bacteria
Description: partial 16S ribosomal RNA
Rfam family: Bacterial small subunit ribosomal RNA
Source: RNAcentral
CCUACGGGGGACUGCAGUGAGGAAUAUUGGUCAAUGGCCGAGAGGCUGAACCAGCCAAGUCGCGUGAGGGAAGACGGCCCUACGGGUUGUAAACCUCUUUUGUCGGGGAGCAAAGCGAACCACGUGUGGUUCAUUGAGAGUACCCGAAGAAAAAGCAUCGGCUAACUCCGUGCCAGCAGCCGCGGUAAUACGGAGGAUGCGAGCGUUAUCCGGAUUUAUUGGGGUUAAAGGGUGCGCAGGCGGAGGUGCAAGUCAGCGGUCAAAUUGCGGGGCUCAACCCCGUACUGCCGUUGAAACUGCAUCCCUUGAGUGCGCGAGAAGUAUGCGGAAUGCGUGGUGUAGCGGUGAAAUGCAUAGAUAUCACGCAGAACUCCGAUUGCGAAGGCAGCAUACCGGCGGCGAUCUGACGCUGAGGCACGAAAGCGUGGGUAUCGAACAGGAUUAGAUACCCCAGUAGUC